Molecule: ribosomal RNA, 466 nt
Filed under: uncultured bacterium
Lineage: Bacteria
Description: partial 16S ribosomal RNA
Rfam family: Bacterial small subunit ribosomal RNA
Source: RNAcentral
GAUGAACGCUGGCGGCGUGCUUAACACAUGCAAGUCGAACGAUGAAGCCCAGCUUGCUGGGUGGAUUAGUGGCGAACGGGUGAGUAACACGUGAGUAACCUGCCCUUAACUCUGGGAUAAGCCUGGUAAACUGGGUCUAAUACCUGAUAGGAGCGUCCACCGCAUGGUGGGUGUUGGAAAGAUUUAUCGGUUUUGGCUGGACUCGCGGCCUAUCAGCUUGUUGGUGAGGUAAUGGCUCACCAAGGCGACGACGGGUAGCCGGCCUGAGAGGGUGACCGGCGACCAUGGGCCUGCGAGACGGACCAGACUGCUAUGGGAGGCAGAAGUGGGGAAUCUUGCAGAAUGGGGGCAAGCCUGAUGCAGCGACGCCGCGUGCGGGAUGCCGGCCUUCGGGUUGUAAACCUCUUUCAGUAGGGAAGAAGCGAAAGUGACGGUACCUGCAGAAGAAGCACCGGCUAACUACGUG